UAGUUUUCACAUAUUAUUAUUUCUUUAUUUUAAUUAUACAAAUUUUGUAUUGUUAAAUAUUUAAAGGGUGUGGAGUCUCAACAGGGUGAAAUUUUCAGGACAAAAGGGAGGUAAUUCCUUUGUUAUACUCAUUAUACUUGAAAUUUCCUGAGUGUUAAUAUUGAAUAUAACUUUUUUAAUUAAAAUAUUCACUUUUGUACACAUUUUCUUUAAAUAUCAGAUGUAUACUUGCUAAAAUUACUUUUAUUUAGAGUUCUGUAAAUAAAAAAAAAUGUAAGCAGAGCUCUAGCUAUAGAUAAUAGAUUUGGAGGGUGGGAGAAAUUGUGGGUAACUACAAUUGAUUAGGUGAAAUUUCAAAAGACUUAAAAAGUGCAUCUGAUAUUUAUUUUUACAUAAUGUUAUUUCUGAAAGCAAAUGGACAAUAAGAUGAGGACAUAAACCACCUUCCAGGUUAGGAUAGCAGCUCUUAAGGAAGAUGGUCAAUUAAAUCUUCAACCCAGUCUGAGGCCUUACCAUGAAAAAUAUGUGGUUGUUGAAAUUACAAUGUUUUCAUGGUGUGGGGAGUAAGACUUGAAUAUCUGAUAUUGUUAACAUGAUGGUUAGCAUCACAAGUUUCCUUUGGGUAACUUGCUUGAGGAGUAAAGAGAGCUGUUUAAGUUGAAAGUGUCACCUUUGCUGCCUUGUGUGGUACAAUCUUCAGACAAUAUCCUGCAAACUGUGGCUGAACUGUUACUAUCUUUUUUUAGUAGAAUCCUUAGACAGUAAUCUUGUGGCAGAAUGAGUUGUAAACAAAUUGUUUUUAUUCCUGUAUUGAGUUUCAAAUUGGAUAUUUUUUUAUUUAUAUUAUUU
This is a long non-coding RNA of Mytilus trossulus (common blue mussel), 849 nucleotides long. RefSeq lists it as uncharacterized. NCBI's taxonomy places the organism in Eukaryota, Metazoa, Mollusca, Bivalvia, Mytilida, Mytilidae. The transcript has 4 exons. The record is from RefSeq and is a predicted model, not a curated record.